AAAAUCCGUCGACUUUUAAAAUCGUGAAGGUUCAAGUCCCUCUAUCCCCA
This 50-nucleotide transfer RNA is filed under the name Halerpestes sarmentosa. Its description in RNAcentral is "partial tRNA-Leu". Lineage: Eukaryota; Viridiplantae; Streptophyta; Magnoliopsida; Ranunculales; Ranunculaceae. The record is from RNAcentral.